RNAcentral lists this ribosomal RNA (253 nucleotides) under uncultured bacterium. RNAcentral describes it as "partial 16S ribosomal RNA". It matches the Rfam family "Bacterial small subunit ribosomal RNA", at positions 524 to 776 of the family's 1533-position model. The record is from RNAcentral.
UACGUAGGGUGCAAGCGUUAUCCGGAUUCACUGGGUUUAAAGGGUGCGUAGGCGGGCAGGUAAGUCCGUGGUGAAAUCUCCAAGCUUAACUUGGAAACUGCCGUGGAUACUAUUUGUCUUGAAUACUGUGGAGGUCAGCGGAAUAUGUCAUGUAGCGGUGAAAUGCUUAGAUAUGACAUAGAACACCAAUUGCGAAGGCAGCUGGCUACACAAAUAUUGACACUGAGGCACGAAAGCGUGGGGAUCAAACAGG